RNAcentral lists this ribosomal RNA (490 nucleotides) under uncultured Gammaproteobacteria bacterium. RNAcentral describes it as "bacterial SSU rRNA". It matches the Rfam family "Bacterial small subunit ribosomal RNA", at positions 30 to 509 of the family's 1533-position model. Lineage: Bacteria; Pseudomonadati; Pseudomonadota; Gammaproteobacteria. The record is from RNAcentral.
UGAACGCUGGCGGCAGGCUUAACACAUGCAAGUCGAGCGGUAGCACAGAGGAACUUGUUCCUUGGGUGACGAGCGGCGGACGGGUGAGUAAUGCUUGGGAACAUGCCUUGAGGUGGGGGACAACAGUUGGAAACGACUGCUAAUACCGCAUAAUGUCUACGGACCAAAGGAGGGGAUCUUCGGACCUUUCGCCUUUAGAUUGGCCCAAGUGAGAUUAGCUAGUUGGUGAGGUAAAGGCUCACCAAGGCGACGAUCUCUAGCUGGUUUGAGAGGAUGAUCAGCCACACUGGGACUGAGACACGGCCCAGACUCCUACGGGAGGCAGCAGUGGGGAAUAUUGGACAAUGGGCGCAAGCCUGAUCCAGCCAUGCCGCGUGUGUGAAGAAGGCCUUCGGGUUGUAAAGCACUUUCAGUCGUGAGGAAAGGGGGUAAAUUAAUACUUUGCUCCUAUGACGUUAGCGACAGAAGAAGGACCGGCUAACUCCGCGCC